Molecule: ribosomal RNA, 312 nt
Filed under: uncultured Legionella sp.
Lineage: Bacteria; Pseudomonadati; Pseudomonadota; Gammaproteobacteria; Legionellales; Legionellaceae
Description: bacterial SSU rRNA
Rfam family: Bacterial small subunit ribosomal RNA
Source: RNAcentral
GGCUAACUCCGUGCCAGCAGCCGCGGUAAUACGGAGGGUGCGAGCGUUAAUCGGAAUUACUGGGCGUAAAGGGUGCGUAGGUGGUUGAUUAAGUUAUCUGUGAAAUUCCUGGGCUUAACCUGGGACGGUCAGAUAAUACUGGUUGACUCGAGUAUGGGAGAGGGUAGUGGAAUUUCCGGUGUAGCGGUGAAAUGCGUAGAGAUCGGAAGGAACACCAGUGGCGAAGGCGGCUACCUGGCCUAAUACUGACACUGAGGCACGAAAGCGUGGGGAGCAAACAGGAUUAGAUACCCUGGUAGUCCACGCUGUAAA